GUAAAUCUAUAAUUAGUGAUUUAAGGAAUAUACAAUUGUGGAAAUCACCUAAGGGUUGUUUCGAACAGAUUGAUUUAUUUAUGACUCAAGUACAAAACUCAAGUACAGAUAUUACGCCUUUAGGACUUUUUGUUGUAAACAAAACACUUAUAUCAUCAAUGUUUAUGUCAUUGGCAACAUAUAUUAUAGUACUAAUUCAGUUAUCGCCUGAACUGGAACUUUAUCAAUUAAAACCUAAAAUUUGAGAGUAUAAUAAUUAAAAUUAUGUCACUUAAAA
Long non-coding RNA from Daktulosphaira vitifoliae (grape phylloxera), 277 nucleotides. RefSeq lists it as uncharacterized. NCBI's taxonomy places the organism in Eukaryota, Metazoa, Arthropoda, Insecta, Hemiptera, Phylloxeridae. The record is from RefSeq and is a predicted model, not a curated record. The transcript has 3 exons.